GCCUUAACCUCAAACACGCUGCGACAUCCACUAAACAUCUGUCAUACGGCUAAAGUUACCUGUAACACGCAUCUGAGCGCAAAAGUUAAAAAUUCACCGUCCUCGACAAGAAGACGAUCCAAAAUGAGACACAAAAUCAGCUCAUAAAAAGACGCUUUCAAACAGAAACGGGCAAAAAAUGAAGAGAUGUUCGGAGAGGUUUCAGGCAUGUGUGUGUGUGACAAUAGAGGAGAUAUGUUCUGAUUUUACACUAAUCUGUGUAUACACUGCGAGACAAUGACAUCUUAGCGAGUGAAAAUAUCUUGAAUAUAGUCUAAAGUAUUUAGUAUUUCCUAUUUAAAAAAAAAAAAAGAUUAUUAAAGCUAUUUCCAGCCCGUUUUGCACAUUGCAAGCUUUAACUUGUCUUUAACUAUUGGCAGACGGUUGGGAUUCUUUCCAGAAAUAAAAUGCUUAAAAUAAGCAAAAUGAUCUGCCUGAAAUUAGUAAAAAAAAUAAUAAUAAAAAAAAAAUAAAAAAAAAUAAAAUAAAUAAAUAAAUAAAUAAAAAGAGUAAAAAUAGCUUUAAUAAAUCAGAGUAUAUUCGAGAUAUUUUCAAGAAGCGAUGAUACGUGUGCUAACCCCGCCCCCUAACCGGACCCUUCGCAAGAUUACGUACGGAUUACGAUUACGAGUCGUUACGACGUUAUAAAUCGUUGAUUUAGCGCGUAAAAUAAAACGCCAUCGUAAACCUCUUACUGAUCAGUCUGGUUAAAAAAAAAAAAAAAUUUACUCAAGUUUAUAUGUACAGUGAACAUUUACGCAUAACAAAUAACAACGAUAUUAUUAUUAUUAUUAUUAAUAAUAAUAAUAAUUAUUAUUAUUAUUAUUAUAAUACAAAUGUAGAAAACAAGAGCGUUCGUACUGAAACAGCCCUCGGAACUGAUCUCGAGGGUUAAAUUUGUGGAAACGCUCAGGCUUUUUGUUUAUAACUACAUAAAAAAGAAAGAAAGAAAGAAAGAAAAAAAGAAAGAAAGAAAGAAAGAAAGAAAGGGACGUGAAAGAGAAUUGGCUUAUAUACGGAAAAAACGCUUUAAAAAAAAAAAAAAAAAAAAGGAUCGUUAGUUAUAAUGUGAUGAGACGUGCAGUUAUUUAACCGACACAUAAUUAAUCCAGGCUGAGUCAGCAAUCUGUGGAAGGACAAGUGUGUGUGUGUCUAAUUACAGCAGGGUGCACACACACACACACACACACACACACACACACACACACA
Molecule: long non-coding RNA, 1248 nt
Organism: Ictalurus punctatus (channel catfish)
Lineage: Eukaryota; Metazoa; Chordata; Actinopteri; Siluriformes; Ictaluridae
Exons: 2
Source: RefSeq, a predicted model, not a curated record